GGUGGCUCAGUGGUAGAGCACUUGCCUUGCAUGCACGAGGCCCUGGGUUCGAUUCCUUAGCACCA
This 65-nucleotide transfer RNA is filed under the name Dipodomys ordii (Ord's kangaroo rat). It matches the Rfam family "tRNA". Rfam says of the family: Transfer RNA (tRNA) molecules are approximately 80 nucleotides in length. Their secondary structure includes four short double-helical elements and three loops (D, anti-codon, and T loops). Lineage: Eukaryota; Metazoa; Chordata; Mammalia; Rodentia; Heteromyidae. The record is from Rfam by way of RNAcentral.